This 200-nucleotide unclassified non-coding RNA is filed under the name Uncobasidium sp. RNAcentral describes it as "partial internal transcribed spacer 2". Lineage: Eukaryota; Fungi; Basidiomycota; Agaricomycetes; Polyporales; Meruliaceae. The record is from RNAcentral.
UUAAGUUCAGCGGGUAGUCCUACCUGAUUUGAGGUCAAGAGUCAAUAAAGUGUUUGCAAGCAAACAGUCCGAGUUAACAGACAGUUAGAAGCUGUGACACAAACUGGAAGCUGAACCAAAGCGUAGAUAAUUAUCACACCAAGGAACGGCUAACCAAGUCACCGCUAAUACUUUUAAGAGGAGCUGACUUCUUUGCAGAU